UACGAAGGGGGCUAGCGUUGCUCGGAAUCACUGGGCGUAAAGCGCACGUAGGCGGCUUUAUAAGUCGGGGGUGAAAGCCUGUGGCUCAACCACAGAAUUGCCUUCGAUACUGUAGAGCUUGAGACCGGAAGAGGUAAGUGGAACUGCGAGUGUAGAGGUGAAAUUCGUAGAUAUUCGCAAGAACACCAGUGGCGAAGGCGGCUUACUGGUCCGGUUCUGACGCUGAGGCGCGAAAGCGUGGGGAGCAAACAGG
This 253-nucleotide ribosomal RNA is filed under the name uncultured bacterium. RNAcentral describes it as "partial 16S ribosomal RNA". It matches the Rfam family "Bacterial small subunit ribosomal RNA", at positions 524 to 776 of the family's 1533-position model. The record is from RNAcentral.